CCCUCUUUGGAUUUAGUAUAUAAAGAGUCGAACCUGCCCAGUGAUAUAUAUUUAACGGCCGCGGUACUCUGACCGUGCAAAGGUAGCAUAAUCAUUUGCCUUAUAAUUGAAGGUUAGUAUGAAUGGUUUGACGAAAACAAUACUGUCUCUUUCUAAUUUUAUAGAACUUGAUUUUUAGGUGAAGAAGCAUAAAUAAAAUUGAAAGACAAGAAGACCCUAUCGAGCUUAAAAAAAUUUUGUUAAAAUAAAAUGGCUAUAAAAGAACAUUUGUACCAAAAAAUUUUAGUUGGGGCGACUAAGGAACAUAUAAAGCUUCCACCAUAAUAAUAUAAGCUUUUUAGCUAUGAUCCAAAAUCUUUGAUUAAAAGAAUUAGUUACCGUAGGGAUAACAGCAUAAUCUUUUUUGAGAGUUCUUAUCGAAAAAAAGGUNUGUGACCUCGAUGUUGGACUAGAAUAUCCUAAAUGAUGCAGAAGUCUUUAAAGGUUGGUCUGUUCAACCACUAAUAUUCUACGUGAUCUGAGUUCAGACCGG
This 532-nucleotide ribosomal RNA is filed under the name Sororipyrgus raki. RNAcentral describes it as "partial 16S ribosomal RNA". It matches the Rfam family "Bacterial large subunit ribosomal RNA", at positions 1817 to 2619 of the family's 2925-position model. Lineage: Eukaryota; Metazoa; Mollusca; Gastropoda; Littorinimorpha; Tateidae. The record is from RNAcentral.